RNAcentral lists this ribosomal RNA (301 nucleotides) under uncultured bacterium. RNAcentral describes it as "partial 16S ribosomal RNA". It matches the Rfam family "Bacterial small subunit ribosomal RNA", at positions 509 to 807 of the family's 1533-position model. The record is from RNAcentral.
CAGUAGCCGCGGUAAUACGAAGGGGGCUAGCGUUGUUCGGAUUUACUGGGCGUAAAGCGCACGUAGGCGGAUCGAUCAGUCAGGGGUGAAAUCCUGGAGCUCAACUCCAGAACUGCCUUGGAUACUGUCGAUCUCGAGUCCGGAAGAGGUGAGUGGAACUCCUAGUGUAGAGGUGGAAUUCGUAGAUAUUAGGAAGAACACCAGUGGCGAAGGCGGCUCACUGGUCCGGUACUGACGCUGAGGUGCGAAAGCGUGGGGAGCAAACAGGAUUAGAUACCCCAGUAGUCCCUGUCUCUUAUAC